GUUCACAGCAGUUAGAUGGUGGAGCUCUUUUAUUUCAUUAACAGCUUCCUAACACUUUGGUUUUCUUUCAUCCACUUCAGGUCUUCAGCUGCUGUCGUCUUCUCCUCCUGCACAGACAACAACACGGAUUGAUCACACAAACUCAUCUGUCUUCAGCUGCUGUCGUCUUCUCCUCCUGCACAGACAACAACACGGAUUGAUCACACAAACUCAUCUGUCUUCAGCUGCUGUCGUCUUCUCCUCCUGCACAGACAACAACACGGAUUGAUCACACAAACUCAUCUGU
Long non-coding RNA from Lates calcarifer (barramundi perch), 286 nucleotides. RefSeq lists it as uncharacterized. The transcript is spliced from 3 exons. NCBI's taxonomy places the organism in Eukaryota, Metazoa, Chordata, Actinopteri, Centropomidae. The record is from RefSeq and is a predicted model, not a curated record.